This 406-nucleotide ribosomal RNA is filed under the name uncultured bacterium. Its description in RNAcentral is "partial 16S ribosomal RNA". It matches the Rfam family "Bacterial small subunit ribosomal RNA", at positions 30 to 526 of the family's 1533-position model. The record is from RNAcentral.
AUUGAACGCUGGCGGCAGGCCUAACACAUGCAAGUCGAACGAAUGGCGGACUGGUGAGUAGUUUCUGGGAAACUGCCUGAUGGAGGGGGAUAACUACUGGAAAAGGUAGCUAAUACCGCAUACACUCGGCUGUUCCCCAAUGGGAUUAGCUAGUAGGUGGGGUAAAGGCUCACCUAGGCGACGAUCCCUAGCUGGUCUGAGAGGAUGACCAGCCACACUGGAACUGAGACACGGUCCAGACUCCUACGGGAGGCAGCAGUGGGGAAUAUUGCACAAUGGGAGCAAGCCUGAUGCAGCCAUGCCGCGUGUAUGAAGAAGGCCUUCGGGUUGUAAAGUACUUUCAGCGGGGAGGCGUUACCCGCAGAAGAAGCACCGGCUAACUCCGUGCCAGCAGCCGCGGUAAUAC